GAAGUCUCGGUUUCAACGAACCAAAUCUCGUCGAAAUCCGAUGCUCCUACGUCGCGUACGAGCUGAAAUACUAACAGUCGACGACAAGAUCCUGCGAAUCAGCACUUAAGCUCGAAUUGAUGAUAUCCGAAGUAUGCGCAGCAAUUCCACAGAGCACUCACCUCGAUAGAUCCUCAAGAGUCGGCGCAAAGUCGAGGACGACGGAAAUCCACGCCCGCCCAAGCUCGUCACAGCACCAAUACGACACAACGUGCGCCCGAACGGCUCCGCAGCACCACGUCGGCGACGAAACUCCACCCGAACUCCACCUUGCACACACUCGGUUCUAGAGAGAGAGAG
This 339-nucleotide long non-coding RNA is filed under the name Ananas comosus (pineapple). Its description in RNAcentral is "long non-coding RNA (ACOM_LNC004806)". The record is from RNAcentral. Lineage: Eukaryota; Viridiplantae; Streptophyta; Magnoliopsida; Poales; Bromeliaceae.